UGGAAAUAAAGUAACUUUUAUCUCUUGUC
Molecule: non-coding RNA, 29 nt
Filed under: Rattus norvegicus (Norway rat)
Lineage: Eukaryota; Metazoa; Chordata; Mammalia; Rodentia; Muridae
Source: RNAcentral